UGGGGAAUAUUGCACAAUGGGGGAGCCCUGAUGCAGCCAUGCCGCGUGAAUGAAGAAGGCCUUCGGGUUGUAAAGUUCUUUCGGUGAUGAGGAAGGUGUGGUGGUUAAUACCCACUACAAUUGACGUUAAUCACAGAAGAAGCACCGGCUAACUCCGUGCCAGCAGCCGCGGUAAUACGGAGGGUGCGAGCGUUAAUCGGAAUAACUGGGCGUAAAGGGCACGCAGGCGGAUUUUUAAGUGAGGUGUGAAAGCCCCGGGCUUAACCUGGGAAUUGCAUUUCAGACUGGGAAUCUAGAGUACUUUAGGGAGGGGUAGAAUUCCACGUGUAGCGGUGAAAUGCGUAGAGAUGUGGAGGAAUACCGAAGGCGAAGGCAGCCCCUUGGGAAUGUACUGACGCUCAUGUGCGAAAGCGUGGGGAGCAAACAGGAUUAGAUACCC
RNAcentral lists this ribosomal RNA (439 nucleotides) under uncultured bacterium. Its description in RNAcentral is "bacterial SSU rRNA". It matches the Rfam family "Bacterial small subunit ribosomal RNA", at positions 355 to 787 of the family's 1533-position model. The record is from RNAcentral.